GACGAACGCUGGCGGCGUGCUUAACACAUGCAAGUCGAACGGAAAGGCCCUGCUUGCAGGGUACUCGAGUGGCGAACGGGUGAGUAACACGUGGGUGAUCUGCCCUGCACUUCGGGAUAAGCCUGGGAAACUGGGUCUAAUACCGGAUAGGAGCCAUUUUUAGUGUGAUGGUUGGAAAGUUUUUUCGGUGUAGGAUGAGCUCGCGGCCUAUCAGCUUGUUGGUGGGGUAAUGGCCUACCAAGGCGGCGACGGGUAGCCGGCCUGAGAGGGUGGACGGCCACAUUGGGGGGGGGGUAGGGCCCGGACUCCUGGGGGAGGCGGCAGGGGGGAAGAGUGCGGAAUGGGGGGAAGCCUGAUGCAGCGACGCCGCGUGGGGGAUGACGGCCUUCGGGUUGUAAACUCCUUUCGCUAGGGACGAAGCUUUUGUGACGGUACCUAGAUAAGAAGCACCGGCUAACUACGUG
RNAcentral lists this ribosomal RNA (464 nucleotides) under uncultured bacterium. RNAcentral's name for it is "partial 16S ribosomal RNA". It matches the Rfam family "Bacterial small subunit ribosomal RNA", at positions 28 to 507 of the family's 1533-position model. The record is from RNAcentral.